Molecule: non-coding RNA, 75 nt
Organism: Myotis lucifugus (little brown bat)
Lineage: Eukaryota; Metazoa; Chordata; Mammalia; Chiroptera; Vespertilionidae
Source: Rfam
CUUGUGGGGGAGGGAAUCCCUCAGCCCAGAUUGUGAGAGGGUGCAGGCCAGGCCGAGGGACCCCACCGGUGCAUG